This is a long non-coding RNA of Pelobates fuscus (common spadefoot toad), 332 nucleotides long. RefSeq lists it as uncharacterized. The record is from RefSeq and is a predicted model, not a curated record. NCBI's taxonomy places the organism in Eukaryota, Metazoa, Chordata, Amphibia, Anura, Pelobatidae. The transcript is spliced from 3 exons.
CUGAAGGAAAAGGCGGACUUGCAAGGACUUCUCCUCCUAUACCAAAGGAACCAAAGAAGACUAGAGAACGCAAGGUCCAUCCCGAAACAUGGCUUUAUGAUCUUGUAACUGUAGGACCAGAGGGUCACACACAGAUUUCACUGACCACCCCAGACUCUAUCACUACAUGGGAGACGGAUGCAUUCUGUCUGAGUCAGUCUGGCUAUGGGGAGGCUGAGAAAGUUGAGCUUACCACAAUCCAACCUUACUUUAUUGACCUGACGUUUCCCCACUCUGUGGUGCAGGAUGAGGUAUUCCCACUCACUGCCCAAGUCUUCAACUAUGAGAAGACU